CCACCCUUUAAUGUUUGAUGUUCUAACGUGGACCCGUAAUCCGGGUUGCGGACAGUGUCUGGUGGGUAGUUUGACUGGGGCGGUCUCCUCCUAAAGAGUAACGGAGGAGCACGAAGGUUGGCUAAUCCUGGUCGGACAUCAGGAGGUUAGUGCAAUGGCAUAAGCCAGCUUGACUGCGAGCGUGACGGCGCGAGCAGGUGCGAAAGCAGGUCAUAGUGAUCCGGUGGUUCUGAAUGGAAGGGCCAUCGCUCAACGGAUAAAAGGUACUCCGGGGAUAACAGGCUGAUACCGCCCAAGAGUUCAUAUCGACGGCGGUGUUUGGCACCUCGAUGUCGGCUCAUCACAUCCUGGGGCUGAAGUAGGUCCCAAGGGUAUGGCUGUUCGCCAUUUAAAGUGGUACGCGAGCUGGGUUUAGAACGUCGUGAGACAGUUCGGUCCCUAUCUGCCGUGGGCGCUGGAGAACUGAGGGGGGCUGCUCCUAGUACGAGAGGACCGGAGUGGACGCAUCACUGGUGUUCGGGUUGUCAUGCCAAUGGCACUGCCCGGUAGCUAAAUGCGGAAGAGAUAAGUGCUGAAAGCAUCUAAGCACGAAACUUGCCCCGAGAUGAGUUCUCCCUGAGACUUAGAGUCUCCUGAAGGA
Molecule: ribosomal RNA, 640 nt
Filed under: Salmonella enterica subsp. enterica serovar Newport
Lineage: Bacteria; Pseudomonadati; Pseudomonadota; Gammaproteobacteria; Enterobacterales; Enterobacteriaceae
Description: partial 23S ribosomal RNA
Rfam family: Bacterial large subunit ribosomal RNA
Source: RNAcentral